GGGGAAAUGGCUCAGUGGCAGAGCACAGGACUUGCAUGCCUGAGAUCCUGGGUUUGAUUUCUGGCACCUCA
Molecule: transfer RNA, 71 nt
Filed under: Erinaceus europaeus (western European hedgehog)
Lineage: Eukaryota; Metazoa; Chordata; Mammalia; Eulipotyphla; Erinaceidae
Rfam family: tRNA
About the family: Transfer RNA (tRNA) molecules are approximately 80 nucleotides in length. Their secondary structure includes four short double-helical elements and three loops (D, anti-codon, and T loops).
Source: Rfam by way of RNAcentral